UACGGAGGGCGCAAGCGUUGUUCGGAAUCACUGGGCGUAAAGCGCGUGUAGGCGGCCGGGCAAGUCGGAUGUGAAAUCCCGAGGCUCAACCUCGGAACUGCAUUCGAAACUGUUCGGCUCGAGUCCCGGAGAGGAUGGCGGAAUUCCCGGUGUAGGGGUGAAAUCCGUAGAUAUCGGGAGGAACACCAGCGGCGAAGGCGGCCAUCUGGACGGUGACUGACGCUGAGACGCGAAAGCGUGGGGAGCAAACAGG
This 253-nucleotide ribosomal RNA is filed under the name uncultured bacterium. RNAcentral describes it as "partial 16S ribosomal RNA". It matches the Rfam family "Bacterial small subunit ribosomal RNA", at positions 524 to 776 of the family's 1533-position model. The record is from RNAcentral.